GGGUCAGUAGGUUGGUCGUGCCACCGGUACGUACUGGUCUCACUGAUUCCUCCUUCCUGAAGAACCGUAAUGCCGUUAAUUUGGUGUUGCGGGGAAACAGGAUUGUUACUUUGAAAAAAUUAGAGUGUUUAAAGCAAGCUAACGCUUGAAUACAUUAGCAUGGAAUAAUGAAAUAGGACGAUCGAUCCUAUUUUGUUGGUUUCUAGGAUUGACGUA
Molecule: ribosomal RNA, 216 nt
Filed under: Glomeromycotina sp.
Lineage: Eukaryota; Fungi; Glomeromycota
Description: partial small subunit ribosomal RNA
Rfam family: Eukaryotic small subunit ribosomal RNA (bases 40-216)
Source: RNAcentral